This 64-nucleotide non-coding RNA is filed under the name unclassified sequences. The record is from RNAcentral.
CGAGAAUAGAGCAGCAGGGUGGUGGUUCCUGCGCUCACCUUCGGGUGAGUUCUACGAGCCCACG